Molecule: ribosomal RNA, 441 nt
Filed under: uncultured bacterium
Lineage: Bacteria
Description: partial 16S ribosomal RNA
Rfam family: Bacterial small subunit ribosomal RNA
Source: RNAcentral
CCUACGGGAGGCAGCAGUGGGGAAUAUUGCACAAUGGGGGAAACCCUGAUGCAGCGACGCCGCGUGGGUGACGAAGUAUUUCGGUAUGUAAAGCCCUAUCAGCAGGGAAGAAGAUGACAGUACCUGACCAAGAAGCCCCGGCUAACUACGUGCCAGCAGCCGCGGUAAUACGUAGGGGGCAAGCGUUAUCCGGAUUUACUGGGUGUAAAGGGAGCGUAGGUGGCAUGGCAAGCCAGAAGUGAAAACCCGGGGCUUAACCCCGCGGAUUGCUUUUGGAACUGUCAGGCUGGAGUGCAGGAGGAGCAGGCGGAAUUCCUGGUGUAGCGGUGAAAUGCGUAGAUAUCAGGAGGAACACCGGUGGCGAAGGCGGCCUGCUGGACUGUAACUGACACUGAGGCUCGAAAGCGUGGGGAGCAAACAGGAUUAGAUACCCCUGUAGUC